UUGGCAAAACCCUGCUAGCAAGAAGCCUUUCGGGCUGAGGGCUAGCCAGGCGUGUGUCUUCUAAUUAGUCCAUGUGUGGUUAGCCUUCCGACACGGUGUUGUUUUGCUUUAGCGUGUUCAUAUUAACAACCAGGCCGGUUGUUAAACUUGCUUCUAGGAAAUGUUGUCGUAACUUAGCGGUGACUAGCCACCUAUGCCCUGUUGGCUCUGUAGUCUUGACUGCCAGCGUUAUGGGAACGCUGUUGUUACAUAUCGAUUAUAUCUGGACUAGAUUAACGUUAGCAUCAUCUUGUUUUAACCACCCAAGAAGUUCACUAAUGUUUGGAGGACACUGGUCUUUGACACGUACAGUAUUUCUUUGUUUUAGUGGACACACCUUUUUAGCUAAAUACGUGAGUACUGAGUUUUUCUGUCACGUCUGUGUGAGAUGGAGCCUGCGUUUAGACUGAAGUCCAGACAAACCAUCAGCUGCCAGUCCUCAUUAAUGAACGGCCCGAAAAGACUUGUUUGGUUUAAAUUAAGAUUAUAUUCAAAAUAUAAGCAGGUUUUAUUGACAGUGGAAACAAUGCCACGAUUUAACGACAUCAAAAACUAUCAGUUAACAACUGAGGGAGACACAUGUGAAGUUAAUUCACUGCUCAGCGCCUAGAACGGUGGCAGUGGCCAGAGCAUCCUCUGUUGGCUACACAAACAAGAUGCUCCAGAUGACCAACAAUGGGAAACACAUACUUUACAUUUUCCCUCUUCAAGAACAAAUUGACACUACACCCCUUCUCUAUUAAGCUGUGGAUGGUGCACCUGAAGACCUGAGUACAUCAAAUGCAGAACUUGAAGGCACGCGGCCCAGUGGAGAAGACAACAAUUCAGAAGCUGAGCACACACCAGACGUCAUUCUGUGGCCAGACCAUCAGCAAGGUUCUUGAGCACAUGCAUAGAGACAGGGAAGUUUGUUUAUAAAUGAACCAGUUAUCAUUGAAUUCAAAGCUUUACAAGACUUUUGUCUUUUUUUGCAGCCACUCCAUCCACUCCAGCCAGCUCAGCUAGCUGCUGAAGUUUUGGCUAAGAUGGGAAAUCCCUACCGGUGGGGCCAUCCAGGCAGAGUACCUCACAUUUUCCUCCAUGCUGUUGCACUGCAUGUGCCUGGACCACAGUUAGGAAGACUUCUCCAGUCAUGUGAGUUCUCUUGGAGUUACAUGACUGGAGAAGAUUUCAUAACUGUGGCGCAGGCACAGGCAGUGGCAAUUUUUCAAACUUCAGCAGUAUUUAAAAAAGAAGGGAACUUGGUGAAGGAGAUGGUGUUUUUCAGGCCCUGUUUUAAACAUUUUCAGCCUUGUCCCAGGCUGUU
Monopterus albus (swamp eel) is the source of this 1345-nucleotide long non-coding RNA. RefSeq lists it as uncharacterized. The record is from RefSeq and is a predicted model, not a curated record. The transcript has 5 exons. NCBI's taxonomy places the organism in Eukaryota, Metazoa, Chordata, Actinopteri, Synbranchiformes, Synbranchidae.